GAAAGUCCGGCUGUGAAAUUUGUCACUCCAAUGAGGCCCACAGUUGCUCAAGCUCAUCAGACUGGCUAAGCAGGUGCCUUUUUCCUCCCUCCCAAGCUUCCCACAUUUAGAGGAUAACCUUCCAGAUAAAAGCGGACAAUUCUGUAAUCAAGGGCAUACAAAUAGCUGAAGUUGCCUGCUAGGAAUUCUACAUAAUUUCUCAAUGUCUGUUCGUAGGAGAACUAGCAUAGUGUCCAAGACUCUGGAUACAUCCAAAUGAGGAGGUGCAUGUGGCAGUCUGCUUUUCGUU
Molecule: unclassified non-coding RNA, 289 nt
Organism: Mesocricetus auratus (golden hamster)
Lineage: Eukaryota; Metazoa; Chordata; Mammalia; Rodentia; Cricetidae
Gene: 7SK
Rfam family: 7SK RNA
About the family: 7SK was discovered as an abundant small nuclear RNA in the mid-70s but a possible function has only recently been suggested. Two independent studies have found that 7SK RNA binds the CDK9/cyclin T complex (known as elongation factor P-TEFb).
Source: Ensembl